RNAcentral lists this ribosomal RNA (265 nucleotides) under uncultured cyanobacterium. RNAcentral's name for it is "partial 16S ribosomal RNA". It matches the Rfam family "Bacterial small subunit ribosomal RNA", at positions 1100 to 1382 of the family's 1533-position model. The record is from RNAcentral. Lineage: Bacteria; Bacillati; Cyanobacteriota.
AACCCUCGUCUUUAGUUAAAUUUCUAUAGAGACUGCCGAUUACAAGUCGGAGGAAGUGGGGACGACGUCAAGUCAUCAUGCCAUUUAUAUCCUGGGCUACACACGUGCUACAAUGGUUGAGACAACGAGUGCAAAUUUGCGAAAAUAAGCUAAUCUCUUAAACUCAGCCUUAGUUCGGAUGGUAGGCUGAAACUCGCCUGCCUGAAGCCGGAAUUGAUAGUAAUCGCUGGUCAGCUAUACAGCGGUGAAUACGUUCUCGGGUCUU